Molecule: unclassified non-coding RNA, 411 nt
Filed under: Hevea brasiliensis (rubber tree)
Lineage: Eukaryota; Viridiplantae; Streptophyta; Magnoliopsida; Malpighiales; Euphorbiaceae
Source: RNAcentral
GACCUUUUGAGGUGCACGCUAAUCAAGCGUAGUCAGGCAUUACUUUUUUAAGGAAUGUGAUUGGCUUGGCUUCUUCGGGGACAAUUUCAUCAAAUGGAACAUAAUUCCGCUCCUUAUCAUAGACAUGACAUACUGUCAGUAUUGUCUUCAUUAGACGCCAGUUCCAUGAAGCCUCGUUAAGGUACUUUCCCCAAUUCUCUUGGAGAGAUUGAUGAGCUGCCCGUAAAUUAUAACUUGGUAUUCUGGGGGAUAUGUGGUGGGGAAUAUGAACAUUGAUAUCAUGACAAAGAACCUCAAUCCAACUAGGAUAGUCACAGUGAACUGUGCCAUUCAGCUGGGCCUGAGCAGCAUUCCACUCAUCAGAAGUUUUGAAGGGUAUGUGGGGAGCCGUAUGAUGAACCAUUGUAAAAG